GACGAACGCUGGCGGCGUGCUUAACACAUGCAAGUCGUACGGUAAGGCCCUUUCGGGGGUACACGGGUGGCGAACGGGGGAGUAACACGAGCGUAACCUGCCCACAACUUUGGGAUAACGCUAGGAAACUGGAACUGAUACUGAAUAUGGGCUCCUGCUGCAUGGUGGGGGUUGGAAAGCUCCGGCGGUUGUGGAUGGACUCGCGGCCUAUCAGCUUGUUGGUGGGGUAGUGGCCUACCAAGGCGGCGACGGGUAGCCGGCCUGAGAGGGUGACCGGCCACAUUGGGACUGAGAUACGGCCCAGACUCCUACGGGAGGCAGCAGUGGGGAGUAUUGCACAAUGGGCGCAAGCCUGAUGCAGCAACGCCGCGGGCGGGAUGACGGCCUUCGGGUUGUAAACCGCUUUCAGCAGGGACGAAGCUUUUUGUGACGGUACCUGCAGAAGAAGCACCGGCUAACUACGUG
This 465-nucleotide ribosomal RNA is filed under the name uncultured bacterium. Its description in RNAcentral is "partial 16S ribosomal RNA". It matches the Rfam family "Bacterial small subunit ribosomal RNA", at positions 28 to 507 of the family's 1533-position model. The record is from RNAcentral.